This 615-nucleotide ribosomal RNA is filed under the name Triticum aestivum (bread wheat). RNAcentral describes it as "partial small subunit ribosomal RNA". Lineage: Eukaryota; Viridiplantae; Streptophyta; Magnoliopsida; Poales; Poaceae. The record is from RNAcentral.
AUGGCAACUUGAUUAUCUGACUUGAUUAGAGAUUAUUGCUUAGAAUUUAUUGGUAUCCAGGAAACAAUGAAGAAGGAUUUUUCCUCUAAGUUCUUGAGGAAAAUUGAUCCAGGAGAAUGUUUUUGUUGGACUUGGAUCCCCUUAGUGGGAAAAUCUGGGGGAAUUUUGUGUGGUGCUAAGAAGGAUACUUUUGAUAUUAGAUCUUGCAGGACAGGGAAAUAUAUUAUGAAACUUGAAUUGUGGGAUAGAAGUAAAAAAUUGAACUAUUGUAUUCUUGUAGUCUAUGGAUCUGCACAUGAGGAUCAUAAAGUGAAAUUUUUAACUGAGCUCUCUGACAUGUGUAACAUUAUUACAUGCCCUUAUAUUGUGGGAGGUGAUUUCAAUAUACUUAGAUAUGCUAGUGAGAAAAAUAAGAAAGCUAGAACAAGUCACUCCUCUGAUCUCUUUAACUCCAUCAUUAAUGCUUUUUGUCUAAGGGAAGUUGACAUGAAUGGCGGUCUCUACACUUGGUCUAAUAAUCAGCAAAACCCUACCCUUGAAAAGUUGGACAGAAUACUUAUGUCCAGUUCUUGGGAGAGCCAAUUUCGUUUGACUAUUGUUAGAAAACUGGUGUAA